Molecule: ribosomal RNA, 233 nt
Filed under: uncultured Candidatus Saccharibacteria bacterium
Lineage: Bacteria; Candidatus Saccharimonadota
Description: partial 16S ribosomal RNA
Rfam family: Bacterial small subunit ribosomal RNA
Source: RNAcentral
UAAGCGCGAGGUGAAAUUCAGGCUCAACCUGAAACUGGCUCGCGAAACUGUAAAGCUAGAGUAUAUGAGGGGAAGCUGGAAUUCCUGGUGUAGGAGUGGAAUCCGUAGAUAUCAGGAGGAACACCAAUGGCGUAGGCAGGCUUCUGGCAUAUUACUGACGCUAAGGCACGAAAGCGUGGGGAGCGAACGGGAUUAGAUACCCCGGUAGUCCACGCCGUAAACGAUGGAUGCUA